Potamilus streckersoni is the source of this 77-nucleotide non-coding RNA. The record is from the annotation of a GenBank genome assembly. NCBI's taxonomy places the organism in Eukaryota, Metazoa, Mollusca, Bivalvia, Unionida, Unionidae.
GGAUUUUUGACUGAAUGGUUAGAGUGUCCACCUCGGACGCGGGAGGUCGCGGGUUUGAGCCCAGCCGAGUCAUAUCA